This 357-nucleotide ribosomal RNA is filed under the name uncultured bacterium. RNAcentral's name for it is "partial 16S ribosomal RNA". It matches the Rfam family "Bacterial small subunit ribosomal RNA", at positions 338 to 709 of the family's 1533-position model. The record is from RNAcentral.
CCUACGGGAGGCAGCAGUGGGGACUAUUGGUCAAUGGGCGCAAGCCUGACCCAGCAACGCCGCGUGCAGGAAGAAGGCUUUCGGGUUGUUAACUUCUUUUCUCACGGACGAAGCAAGUGACGGUACCUGGGCAUUAAACCACCUCUAACUACGUGCCCGCAGCCGCGGUAAUACGUAGGUGGCAGUCGUUAUCCGGAUUUAUUGGGUGUAAAGGGCGUGUAGGCUGGAAUGCACGUCAGUUGUGAAAACGACGGGCUCAACAUGUGGCCUGCAUUUUCAACGGUAGUUCUUGAGUCCUUGAAAGGCAGACGGAAUUCGUAGUGUAGCGGUGAAAUGCGUAGAUAUGAGGAGGAACAC